UGUCCAGUAGCACCUUAGAGGCCAACUAAGUUUGUUCUUGGUAUGAGCUUUCGUAUCUGAAGAAGUGUGCAUGCACACAAAAGCUCAUACCAAGAACAAACUUAGUUGGUCUCUAAGGUGCUACUGGACA
Molecule: non-coding RNA, 130 nt
Organism: Podarcis lilfordi (Lilford's wall lizard)
Lineage: Eukaryota; Metazoa; Chordata; Lepidosauria; Squamata; Lacertidae
Source: the annotation of a GenBank genome assembly